ACUCAAAUGAAUAGACGGGGGCCCGCACAAGCGGUGGAGCAUGUGGUUUAAUUCGACGCAACGCGAAGAACCUUACCAAGGCUUGACAUGGAUGUGCAAUAUUUAGAGAUAAGUACCCCUCUUCGGAGGCGCAUCACACAGGUGGUGCAUGGUUGUCGUCAGCUCGUGUCGUGAGAUGUUGGGUUAAGUCCCGCAACGAGCGCAACCCCUAUGUUUAGUAGCCAGCGGUUAAAGCCGGGCACACUAGAGAGACUGCCGUGGAGAACACGGAGGAAGGUGGGGACGACGUCAAAUCAUCAUGCCCCUUAUGUCUUGGGCUACACACGUGCUACAAUGGGUGCUACAAAGAGAAGCGAGAGCGCGAGCUUAAGCAAACCCCAAAAAGCAUCCUCAGUUCGGAUUGCAGUCUGCAACUCGAGUGCAUGAAGUUGGAAUCGCUAGUAAUCGCGAAUCAGCAUGUCGCGGUGAAUACGUUCCCGGGCCUUGUACACACCGCCCGU
Molecule: ribosomal RNA, 500 nt
Filed under: uncultured bacterium
Lineage: Bacteria
Description: bacterial SSU rRNA
Rfam family: Bacterial small subunit ribosomal RNA
Source: RNAcentral